RNAcentral lists this unclassified non-coding RNA (283 nucleotides) under Hevea brasiliensis (rubber tree). Lineage: Eukaryota; Viridiplantae; Streptophyta; Magnoliopsida; Malpighiales; Euphorbiaceae. The record is from RNAcentral.
CCACAGUUUCUUGCAUAUCUUGAUCUCUGUAUGGUUUGUGAAAAUAAUGUCGCUACUUGGCGUCGAGCUGCAUUCUUUGAAGAAACUGGCGAGACUUACAAAAGAGUUGUAGCUGUAUGUUUGAGGCCUCUUGAGCAGCUUGCUUCAUAAUACUUUUAAUCUUGNNNNNNCUCAUUCCGAUGAUAAGACUUACCAACAACACAAUCAAUUGCAGUUACAAACUGAUCCGCAACAAGAUUCAAAGUAUUAUGAAGCCCUGAACAACUUCCAGCAAUGUGCAUGG